Molecule: long non-coding RNA, 254 nt
Filed under: Elaeis guineensis (African oil palm)
Lineage: Eukaryota; Viridiplantae; Streptophyta; Magnoliopsida; Arecales; Arecaceae
Description: long non-coding RNA (EGUI_LNC037215)
Source: RNAcentral
AUGUUAGCCCAAAGUAGUUAUGUAAUAGCCUAGGAUGAUUUCAAAGUAUAACUAUUAUCUUCACUAUUGCAGUGCAAACUUUUUGGGCUAAAUUGUUGGCUCAACAGAUAUGCGUUGAUGAAUCCAAAUAUUUUUAAUUAGCAAAUUCAUCUCCUUUUGUUCAUUCUCUCUCUCUCUCUCUCUCUCUUCAAAGAAAAUAGAGAUUACAGCCAAUCAUGCUAGCCAAAUUUUAGAGUAAAUUUAUUCGUUGCCAA